GGCUUUGUCCGGGAGUCAAGCGGCCUCCGGAGCCGUGUGCGCAGGUUCGAAUCCUGCCGGGGGCACCU
This 68-nucleotide transfer RNA is filed under the name Streptomyces qaidamensis. RNAcentral's name for it is "tRNA-Ser". The record is from RNAcentral. Lineage: Bacteria; Bacillati; Actinomycetota; Actinomycetes; Kitasatosporales; Streptomycetaceae.